RNAcentral lists this ribosomal RNA (405 nucleotides) under uncultured bacterium. RNAcentral's name for it is "bacterial SSU rRNA". It matches the Rfam family "Bacterial small subunit ribosomal RNA", at positions 29 to 479 of the family's 1533-position model. The record is from RNAcentral.
AACGAACGCUGGCGGCAUGCCUAACACAUGCAAGUCGAACGAGACCUUCGGGUCUAGUGGCGCACGGGUGCGUAACGCGUGGGAAUCUGCCCUUGGGUUCGGAAUAACAGCGAGAAAUUGCUGCUAAUACCGGAUGAUGACGUAAGUCCAAAGAUUUAUCGCCCAAGGAUGAGCCCGCGUAGGAUUAGCUAGUUGGUGAGGUAAAGGCUCACCAAGGCGACGAUCCUUAGCUGGUCUGAGAGGAUGAUCAGCCACACUGGGACUGAGACACGGCCCAGACUCCUACGGAGGCAGCAGUGGGGAAUAUUGGACAAUGGGACGAAAGCCUGAUCCAGCAAUGCCGCGUGAGUGAUGAAGGCCUUAGGAUUGUAAAGCUCUUUCACCGAUGAAGAUAAUGACGGUAGU